AUGCAAUGCAGAUUAUUAUAUAGCACAGAGUUGAAUAAUUAUCCAAUGUCCUGCUAUAUAAACCAUAAAUGUAUUAAUUAUUUAGUAAUUUGUGUUAAAGUCAACAACACAGAAUCAGGGAAGUCUUUGUGCUUGGGAGCUUUUUUAAAUGUGUUUUUGAAGCUGACCUUUGGCAGGUCAACACAGCUCCACAUUCAGGACAGUGACCCUAGUGAGAGCAACUGUAGAACUAGUUUUCUACCAUUUUUUUGUUUUUCCUCACCGUUUGGGUGACCUGCUUUGGCUACCAGUGAACAUUUAUAAGUCAGUGACUAAUUUCACAGUUUAAGAUGUCAACCCUCUUACCUUAAGAAUUAAUUAUUGAAAAAAUUUUCAUAUUCAGAAAGAUUUCAUGAUCUUAAAGCAAGACAGUGUAACUUGAAGAACAUUGUGUUGGUUGUGCUUCGACUCUGCAGGGAUGAAUUUGAUUAGGAAAUGUAAAAAAGAUGUGAUUGGGGUGGUUAAGACUUAUGCUGUUGAUUUGAGUAAUUGGAAUCAUUGAGGCUUUUAAAUGAAUGACGUACAAAAGUUUACAAGUUGUCGGCUCUGAGCCUCAGACCUCAAAGGCAACCAAAACACAGGCUUAAGAGGGAAUCAGUUUAGAUGAAAAGGGUCGUAAGUUAACUAAUUAGACAGCUGAAGAUGUUGUUCUUUUUUGCCAAAAAACAUUAGGAUAUUAAGUAAAGAUCAUUCCUACUGUAAAUAUAUCAAAACCUAAAUUUGAUUUGUAAUAUGCAUUGCUAGGGACUUCAUUUGGACAACUUUAAAUUAGAUUUUCUCAAUAUUUAGAUUGUUUUGGACCCUUAGAUUCCAGAUCUUCAAAUAGUUGUAUCUCGGCCAAAUAAUGUUCUAUUCUAACAAACCAUACAUCAAUGGAAUCCUAAUUUUUCAGCUUUCACAAAUUUUUUUUGUGAUGUGGUCCAGGUUCACAUUUGAAUCUGAAUCGGUCAUGUGGAUCAAGCCGUAGCUCUCUGAACAUUCUGAACUUACAAUUUGUAAUCACGAGUCAAGUUCUGGAGCAUGUGAGUGCUUUGGCGUUGAUAGUGUUGCCAUAGAAAAGCAUAAUUCAGAGUACAGGUAUAAUGUCACAUGUUGACAUCCUAGAAUUAUGGUACUUAUGACAUGUUAUGAAUGCAUCUAUGACUAUGACAAACUUUAAAAUAAAAGACAUGAUAACAUGAACUUAAACAAAUCCUAAAACAGAUGUGACAAAACGUUUUCUACAUAAAUUGAGAGCAGCAGAUUAUUUACUCUUACAAAAAAUAAGUCAACAUAUAUUAUCCAAGUAUAUUUUAUGCGGUAAGCAUGCUAAAAAGUGACGUAAAAUACAGCCAAUUAUGGUGACCCAUAAUCAGAACUCAUGCUCUGCAUUUAAUCCAUCCAAAGUGCACAAACACAGCAGUGAACACACACCCGGAGCAGUGGGCAGCCAUUUAUGCUGCGGCGCCCGCGGAGCAGUUGGGGGUUCGGUGCAUUGCUCAAGGGCACCUCAGUUGUGGUAUUGCCGGCCUGAGACUCAAACCCACAACCUUAGGGUUAGGAGUCAAACUCUCUAACCAUUAGACCACGAUAACCCCCACGACUUUAAGUGAAAAUAUAUAUAUAAAUAUAUAUAUAUAUAUAUAUAUAUAUAUAUAUAUAUAUAUAUAUAUAUAUGUAUAUGUAUAUAUAUAUAUAUGUUAUAUAUAUAUAUAUAUACUUGAAUUUUACUGUACCUUUUAUUACUUUAAUAGACUAAACCCCUAUGUACACUAACUGUAGAUUAAUGCCCGUGGUUUAUUUAUUACACAAAGAGACUUUAUUGUUUUGUGAUGAGAUUUAAAAUGAUAUAUUCUAGUAAUUGCUUAUAAUAAAAGCCAGUAGCCUAUGAAACACGUCUGUUACAAUAAUGUUACACCUUGUAAAAAAUCUCAAUAAAAUCAGCCAAAUGAGUUUUUGUGUAGUUUAACUGCAUUGCAUGCAUAAACACAUGCAUGUGUCAUAAGGCAGUUUUUAGAAAGCAUGAUACAUAACCAGUUAUGUGAAUAUAUACAGUUAAACACAUGAGAUCCCCCUCAUAUUCCAUCAUGCAACACUAGCCCAGCCCCCCCACACGCCAUGUAUGCUAUGAACAUAUGGUAAAACGCUGCAGUCAUCCUGCAUAUGGUCACCAUGAGAUUCAUGCACUCUCUGCCUCUCUCUGUAAGACUGGUGCAAAGUAAAACCAGCAAAAAAUAAACAGUGAAAAGAAAGAGGUGUAAAAAAAAAAAAAAUCAACCUUUCAUACAAUAACAAGCCAUGUCAGCCAUUUUGAGUGACAAAUCAGCAUGGUGCAUGGCACAGGUUUCCCGAACGGUGGAGGAAGGAUCUGACAGCCGUUUGAAAACGUCCUCAGAGAACGA
Cyprinus carpio carpio is the source of this 2420-nucleotide long non-coding RNA. The record is from Ensembl. NCBI's taxonomy places the organism in Eukaryota, Metazoa, Chordata, Actinopteri, Cypriniformes, Cyprinidae.